AUGCACGCUGGCGGCUUGCCUAAUCCCUGCCAGUCGCGCGAACAGACGAGGAGCUUGCUCCUCUGACGUUAGCGGCGGACGGGUGAGUAACACGUGGCUAACCUACCUAUAAGACUGGGAUAACUUCGGGAAACCGGCGCUAAUACCGGAUAAUAUAUUGAACCGCAUGAUUCCAUAGUGAAAGACGGCUUUGCUGUCACUUAUAGAUGGAUCCGCGCCGCAUUAGCUAGUUGGUAAGGUAACGGCUUACCAAGGCAACGAUGCGUAGCCGACCUGAGAGGGUGAUCGGCCACACUGGAACUGAGACACGGUCCAGACUCCUACGGGAGGCAGCAGUAGGGAAUCUUCCGCAAUGGGCGAAAGCCUGACGGAGCAACGCCGCGUGAGUGAUGAAGGUCUUCGGAUCGUAAAACUCUGUUAUUAGGGAAGAACAAAUGUGUAAGUAACUAUGCACGUCUUGACGGUACCUAAUCAGAAAGCCACGGCUAACUACGUG
RNAcentral lists this ribosomal RNA (496 nucleotides) under uncultured bacterium. Its description in RNAcentral is "partial 16S ribosomal RNA". It matches the Rfam family "Bacterial small subunit ribosomal RNA", at positions 29 to 507 of the family's 1533-position model. The record is from RNAcentral.